GAUGGCAAUUUUGGUGUAUUUCCUUGCUGAAACCUGCCAAACAGUGAUUGUUGCUUCGGCUGUUUAUCUUGCACGUUGAACCCUCAACAAGAGAGCCCUUAUGAACCAAAAUACUGAGUACUCUCGGAGAAUCAACUAAGGUAAUAUAUUCUUUUUGUAUGGAGUUUCAACUAACCUUAGAUAUAAUUACUAGAAUUUGGAGCGACCCAUUUUAGUAAAAUGAAAUUAUUAAAUGUGAUGAUAAUAAGAACAUUGAUGAGGAUUUAUUUAUUUUUCCUGUUAGUAAAAUCUCAUUAUUGUUCUGUUUCUUGGGGGUGCAUCAUUUCUUUUAGGAAAUGUUGUCCUCUUACUUUGCAUUCUUGUAUGGGAAAUUGUUGACUUCUGAUUUCAUUUCAGUCCGAUACUUUAUAAGAAGGUAUUGGAUGUUUGUGUCGAUUACAGGUAGAAAGUCUUUUUUUGUUGACAAUUAUAAUAUUGCCUUGCUUACAUCAAUUUAAUGGAGAAAUUGAGUUUUCCAUCAUUUUUUCUUGAAAUCUUGAAAGGUUUUAACAGUUCGCAACACCAUAAAUAAUCUCUUUUUAUAUAUGAAGUUUUCAGUUUUUAAGGUUCAACUUGAAUAAAUUUUUUUUUUUAAAAGUCCCAAAUUGAUCUGUAUUGCUUUUCUGCUAUUGUAGAUGGCAAUUUUGGUGUAUUUCCUUGCUGAAACCUGCCAAACAGUGAUUGUUGGGAUGUUUAUCUUGCACGUUGUACCCUCAACAAGAGAGCCCUUAUGAACCAAAAUACUGAGUACUCUAGGAGAAUCAACUAAGGUAAUAUAUUCUUUUGUAUGGAGUUUCAACUAACCUUAGAUAUAAUUACUAGAAUUUGGAGCGACUCAUUUUAGUAAAAUGAAAUUAUUAAAUGUGAUGAUAAUAAGAACAUUGAUGAGGAUUUAUUUAUUUUUCCUGCUAGUAAAAUCACAUUAUUGUUCUGUUCCUUGGGUGUGCAUCAUUUCUUUUAGUAAAUGCUGUCCUCUUACUUUGGAUUCUUGUAUGGGAAAUUGUUGACUUCUGAUUUCAUUUCAGUUUGAUACUUUAUAAGAAAGUAUUGGAUGUUUGUGUUGAUUAUAGGUAGAAAGUCUUUUUUUUUGUUGACAAUUAUAAUAUUACCUUGCUUACAUCAAUUUAAUGGAGAAAUUGAGUUUUCCAUCAUUUUUUCUUGAAAUCUUGAAAGGUUUUAACAGUUUGCACACCAUAAAUAAUCUCUUUUUAUAUAUGAAGUUUUCAGUUUUUACGGAUCAACUUGAAUAAACAAUUUUUUUUUAAAAAAGUCCCAAAUUGAUAUUUAUUGCUUUUCUGCUAUUGUUGAUGGCAAUUUUGGUGUAUUUCCUUGCUGAAACCUGCCAAACAGUGAUUGUUGCUUCGGCUGUUUAUCUUGCACGUUAUACCCUCAACAAGAGAGCCCUUAUGAACCAAAAUACUGAGUACUCUCGUAGAAUCAACUAAGGUAAUAUAUUCUUUUGUAUGGAGUUUCAACUAACCUUAGACAUAAUUACUAGAAUUUGGAGCGAUUCAUUUUUGUAAAAUGAAAUUAUUAAAUGUGAUGAUAAUAAGAACAUUGAUGAGGAUUUAUUUAUUUUUCCUGUUAGUAAAAUCUCAUUAUUGUUCUGUUCCUUGGGUGUGCAUCAUUUCUUUUAGUAAAUGUUGUCCUCUUACUUUGGAUUCUUGUAUGGGAAAUUGUUGACCUCUGAUUUCAUUUCAGUCCGAUACUUUAUAAGAAAGUAUUGGAUGUUUGUGUUGAUUACAGGUAGAUAGUCUUUUUUUUGUUGACAAUUAUAAUAUUACCUUGCUUACAUCAAUUUUAUGGAGAAAUUGAGUUUUCCAUCAUUUUUUCUUGAAAUCUUGAAAGGUUUUAACAGUUCGUACACCAUAAAUAAUCUCUUUUUAUAUAUGAAGUUUUCAGUUUUUAAGGUUAAACUUGAAUAAGCAAUUUUUUUUAAAAGUCCCAAAUUGAUAUGUAUUGCUUUUCUGCUAUUGUAGAUGGCAAUUUUGGUGUAUUUCGUUGCUGAAACUGCCAAACAGUGAUUGUUGCUUCGGCUGUUUAUCUUGCACGUUGUACCCUCAACAAGAGAGCCCUUAUGAACCAAAAUACUGAGUACUCUCGGAGAAUCAACUAAGGUAAUAUAUUCUUUUGUAUGGAGUUUCAACUAACCUUAGAUAUAAUUACUAGAAUUUGGAGCGACUCAUUUUAGUAAAAUGAAAUUAUUAAAUGUGAUGAUAAUAAGAACAUUGAUGAGGAUUUAUUUAUUUUUCCUGCUAGUAAAAUCUCAUUAUUGUUCUGUUCCUUGGGUGUGCAUCAUUUCUUUUAGUAAAUGCUGUCCUCUUACUUUGGAUUCUUGUAUGGGAAAUUGUUGACUUCUGAUUUCAUUUCAGUCCGAUACUUUAUAAGAAGGUAUUGGAUGUUUGUGUUGAUUACAGGUAGAAAGUCUUUUUUGGUUGACAAUUAUAAUAUUACCUUGCUUACAUCAAUUUUAUGGAGAAAUUGAGGUUUCCAUCAUUUUUUCUUGAAAUCUUGAAAGGUUUUAACAGUUCGCAAC
RNAcentral lists this long non-coding RNA (2575 nucleotides) under Panax ginseng (ginseng). Its description in RNAcentral is "long non-coding RNA (PGIN_LNC016701)". Lineage: Eukaryota; Viridiplantae; Streptophyta; Magnoliopsida; Apiales; Araliaceae. The record is from RNAcentral.